This is a long non-coding RNA of Acanthochromis polyacanthus (spiny chromis), 1590 nucleotides long. RefSeq lists it as uncharacterized. Lineage: Eukaryota; Metazoa; Chordata; Actinopteri; Pomacentridae. The record is from RefSeq and is a predicted model, not a curated record. The transcript has 3 exons.
CUUUUUUGGUCAAGAUUAUUUGCUGUACUGAGAGAUACAGUAAGGCAAUGUGUUAAAUUUUGCUUUACAGUUAAAAAGAAACAAUGUGAAUAUGCAACAUAUGACAGAUAACAGUGGCAUAUUUUUAGAACCUUUGAAAUUAGAGCAAAAUCAUAUCAAGAGUGAAGAGUGUGCUCCCACCACAAACAUUACUUUUCAUUUUUUUCGACUACACGGUGUGCAGUUUUAUUACCCUUUCUUUCGUAAAUUCAGGGACAGAUAGUUUUUCCCCUCUGUGUUUGCAUAAAUAUACCCACAAUGGACCUCAAAUCCCUGAGCUGACUCUCCGUUUGUAAGAGAGAUCAUGUUCUCUUUUAGGAGCUGCAGCCAGUGUUGCUGUGGGCCACGUGUCUCUGGAGUGGUCUGUGUGGGGAGAGCUGGUCCUGGGGGGCUUCACGCUUCUCAUCGCUGGGGCUUUAUUCCUGAUGGAUCUAACUAGCAACAUCUGGAUCAGCUACACAUUCUACUUCCUCUUCAAAACAAUUUACAUGCCACUCACCACCAUCUGCACUUUCCAGAUAGCCAAGAAGCUGAACAGGAGGCGCUAUGCAUUGGUGUUUGGGCUGAACAGUUUUGUAGGUACAGUCCUGCAGAGUGUCCUCACCGCCGUCGUCAUCAACACCAAGUCUGUACAGCUCCCCAUCACCUCCCAGUUUAUCACCUACGCCUCGUACUUUGCUGCCAUUUCCCUGCUGUUCACAGUCAGAGGUGUGUAUACGGUGCUUCACAUGAAGGCAGCCAGGAGGAGAGAGACAACAACUUGCCAGAGGGCUCACACCUGUGACGAGUUUGUGUGACAGGAGAAAAUGUAAGGAUUUUAAUAACCGUCAGCGCUGCGCCCUAUUACUGCUGCAGCAGCAAUAAACGGGACCAGAAGUGUUAUACCUGCAUACACAUCAAGAUUUUAAAUCAAUCAAAGGAUGGUUAAUUAUUUUUUGUCCAUCUGUCACCAGCAGGAUGAAAAUAAUUAAUUCUGCAAAUGUGCUGUGCUUUUAACAGUUCCAAGUAUCGCCACUAGAGUGCAGCAUACACUCAAUAUCGACUAAGCAGAGCACUGCAUGACAGCUUUGUGGUGCUUUAGUUUACUGGUGUAACUAGUUAGUGCACGUAUAUCAGAUUCAUCUCAGAAUGAGUUCAUAUAAGAAUCAUGAAAUGUUUUCUGGAGGUGAAUUUUUGUGUACGUGUUUAUUUUUUCAAGACAAACCCUUCAUGUCUGCAUAUUUAACAACUGCCUGUAAAAUCACAGUUCAUUCAUCUCAUAAGAAAUUAAACUCAUCAAUCAAUUGAACAUUUAUUAUGUGAUAACAUGUCUUGGCCUUAAACUGUAUUUUUUAUGGUUUAUUCGAACUCUAGUCAUUAAGCGUCAUGGAUGUACCUUUUUUUUUAGGAAGUGUGGUAACAUUCAGGCUUGCCAGGACAUUAAACAUGUUUGGUUGUUGUAGUAUAACCAGCAAAAUAACAAAACUAAUGCUGAAACUCCACGGUAAAAGAAAAUCAAGAAGAAAAUAAACAUUUCCUUAAAUUGUGAUAUUUAAAUUGAUUAAAAUGAUA